This 463-nucleotide ribosomal RNA is filed under the name uncultured bacterium. RNAcentral's name for it is "partial 16S ribosomal RNA". It matches the Rfam family "Bacterial small subunit ribosomal RNA", at positions 28 to 507 of the family's 1533-position model. The record is from RNAcentral.
GACGAACGCUGGCGGCGUGCUUAACACAUGCAAGUCGAACGGAAAGGCCUUUUCGGAGGUACUCGAGUGGCGAACGGGUGAGUAACACGUGGGUGAUCUGCCCUGCACUCUGGGAUAAGCCUGGGAAACUGGGUCUAAUACCGGAUAGGACCGCACUUUAGUGUGUGUGGUGGAAAGUGUUUUUGGUGUAGGGUGAGCCCGCGGCCUAUCAGCUUGUUGGUGGGGGAAUGGCCUACCAAGGCGGCGACGGGUAGCCGGACUGAGAGGGUGGUCGGCCACAUUGGGACUGAGAGACGGCCCAGACUCCUACGGGAGGCAGCAGUGGGGAAUAUUGCACAAUGGGCGCAAGCCUGAUGCAGCGACGCCGCGUGGGGGAUGACGGCCUUCGGGUUGUAAACUCCUUUCGCCAGGGACGAAGCGUUUUGUGACGGUACCUGGAGAAGAAGCACCGGCUAACUACGUG